AAACAGAUUCACGGCUUGUACGAUUCCACGAAAAUUAUAAAUCUUCCUUGAGAGGAAAUUUCAUUGUUUUUCAGCGCAAUACUUAUCAUUUAAGGAUAAUUUGUUAUCCUGUCAUUAAAUUUUGAUGUCUGGAAACGUCAAGUGUAAUAAAUUAAUUUUAUUUUGGGAAGAAAACUAGUGUUGUCUGUGAAUCGAAAUAAGAAAAUACAAUCAUGGGAAUCUUUUCUGAAAAAAUAGAAUUGAAGCAAAGCGGAUGAAGGAAAGUAAUUGAAAGCAAAAGAAAUCGCCAGUUGGACAUUAGAAUAUUGCAUUCCUGCAUUUCUCGGCAAUCUGUUUAUUGGAAAUAUAUAUAAUAUAUAUAUAAUAUAUUGGAAAUAUAUAUAUAAUUUUUACCAUAUACGAUUUUUGCAAUCUGUGGGGAUUCCCAAUAUUGUUGCUGCGAACGUCGAGCAUGCACAUGUAUUUGUACGCUGUACGUGCUCAAUUAUAUGAGCAACAUCGGUCACUUUUAGCUAAGGAGGAAAGUGUUAUAAGGAAUUGCUAUCCUUUUCACUUUUCUUUAAAUUGACCGCUAUUAAUAGGAAAUCUACUUGGUUCGUAUUAUUUUAUUUAUUACCUACAUUAGCAACAUCAUCGAACUCGUCAUUGCAAUUGAUAAUUAUAAAUAAAUGCGGAAAUUUGUCUUUGCGAAGGUCUGCGUGACGUCAGUAAAGUAUAUUUCGUAAUGAGAGACUAUUUCUACAAACAAAAAGUUAAUGACGUAUGAUAAGCGGACACGUCAUUGGGUUCUUGAGUUUUAUUCUUUUGUGUGACGCAGUACAAUAAUACACAUUAUGCGUAUGUCACAUAGUACAAUAAUAGCACAAAGAUUUGCUGUUUUUUUCUUAAAAUAACAUAAAAAUUUUAAAAAUCUAUAAAAGCUAUAUUGA
Non-coding RNA from Linepithema humile (Argentine ant), 929 nucleotides. NCBI's taxonomy places the organism in Eukaryota, Metazoa, Arthropoda, Insecta, Hymenoptera, Formicidae. The record is from RefSeq and is a predicted model, not a curated record.